CCCUCCAAUCCCGCAUUGUUCCCGGCUCGGCGGGAGGAGGAGGAGCAGGGCCAAGGGCCAGCGGGAAGGCAGGCGGGAAGGCGGGCGCCGGGACGUGCUGGAGCCGCCUGUCAUGUUGGUGGAGCUGCUCUUCCAGGCUGCCUGUGUGUCCCUGUUCCUCUCCAGCGGCCAGGGCAGGGUGUAUCCCGCGAGGAAGAAGCCGGCCAGCUUUGCCGUGGAGAGGGGGCUCAGGACAGGGUGGCCUCAGGCUCUGGUGUCCCACAGGCGCCGCGUGGGGCCCCACGUCUGCCUCCCAGGCUCCGGCAGCGGAUGUUGUCCUGGCUGGAUGGUGUCCCCGGGCAGCGGGAAGUGCACCCUGCCGCUCUGCUCCUUCGGCUGCGGUGGUGGUUCCUGCAUCGCUCCCAACCUUUGCAUGUGCCCGGAUGGAGAGCAGGGAAUCACCUGCCCAGAGCCACCGGGGACUUGUGGAGAGUACGGCUGUGACCUGUCCUGUAACCACGGCGGCUGCCAGGAGGUCGCCCGCGUGUGUCCCGUCGGAUUCUCCAUGGCCGAGACCGCCAACGGCGUCCGCUGCACCGACAUCGAUGAGUGCCAGAGCGCGGCCUGCGAGGGGACGUGCCUGAACACGGAGGGCGGCUUCGCCUGCGAGUGCGGAGCCGGCCGGGAGCUCUCUGCUGACCGCCGCAGCUGCCGGGACACAGAUGAAUGCCAGGCCACGCCGUGCCAGCACCGCUGCGAGAACAGCGUGGGCAGCUACCGCUGCUCCUGCCGGCCGGGAUACCACCUCCACGGGAAUCGGCAUUCCUGCGUGGAUGUAGACGAGUGCCGGCGGCCUGGCACGCGCCGCUCCUGCCAGCACAGCUGCCACAACAUUCCUGGCAGCUUCCGCUGCUCCUGCCGCCCCGGAUACCGGCUCAGUGCAGACAGGGUGUCCUGUGAAGGGUACCCCAAAUCUAUUCUGGCCCCAUCGCCCAUCCUGCAAUCCCUGCAGCAUCCACCCACCCUUGUCCUGCUCCCUCCUGGCUCCCACCUGCUCCCGCGGGGCUCCCCCUCUCCCCACCUCCCUGUGGCAGCUCCUGGUACCCAAUUUCCUCCCUCCUCUCCAUCCCUGUCCCCCGAGCCAUCCCCACGUGCCAUGGGAGCCCCCAGCACGUCCAUCCCACCAUCCCAUCAUUGUUGGCACCGGGGAAUCUCUCGGGAGCCCGGCAGUCGCUGGACAGAGCCAGGCUGCCAGAGCUGCACCUGCCAGGGGGGACGAGUCCUCUGUGACACCGUGAGCUGCUCUGUUCCCUGCUCCCACCCGCUUCCCGCUCCGGCUGGGGGUUGCUGCCCCACAUGCACAGGGUGCCUGCACGAGGGGGUGGCCAGGGCCGAGGGCGAUGUCUUCUCCCCAUCCAAUGGGAAUUGCACCGUCUGCGUCUGCUUGGCCGGGAAUGUCUCCUGCCUCUCCCCGGAAUGUCCCCCAGGAUCCUGCCCCAGCCCCUCUCUGGCUGACUGCUGCUCCUGCAAUCCAGGUGAUCCCAGGAGCCCUAGUCUGGGGUGUGAGUACCCCCGGGCUGGGCUGGGGGUUAGGGAAGAGCCGUGCUUGGCUCUCCAGCACCUCUCCUUCCCCUUUUCCCAGAAAAGUGCAAUUUCCGGGGACGCACAUACGCGCACGGAGCCCGGUUCAGCCUGGAUGGGGACGACUGCACCACCUGUGUCUGCCAGGGAGGAGAGGUGGAAUGUUCCUUCACUCCCUGCCCCGUGCUGGAUUGUCCCCAGCACCAGCGGCAGCUGGGUCCCGGGCAGUGCUGCUCCACCUGCCGGGACCCUCCAGCCCCUGCCGGGAUCCUACCCAGGUUGCUUCCUGGAUGACAAUGGCGUGGAGUUUCCCGUUGGACAGAUCUGGUCUCCGGGCGAUCCCUGUGAGUUAUGCAUCUGCCAGGCAGACGGCUCCGUGAGCUGCCAGCGCACGGAUUGUGUGGAGACGUGUCCUUAUCCCAUCCGCAUUCCCGGGCAGUGCUGCCCCGACUGCUCCGCAGGCUGCACCUACAUGGGGAGGAUCUUUUCCAACAACGAGACCUUCCCGUCGGCGCUGGAUCCCUGCCUGAGCUGCAUCUGCCUGCUGGGCUCGGUGGCCUGCUCGCCUCUGGAAUGUGCCAUCGUGUGCUCCUACCCCUUCCACCCCGAGGGUCGGUGCUGCCCCGUCUGUGAGGACUGCAACUACCAGGGCAGGAAGGUGGAGAACGGCCAGAGCUUCAUUCCCGAGGGACAGCCCUGUACCCGCUGCACCUGCCAGCUUGGAGAGGUGAGCUGUGAGGAGAGGCCGUGCCCCAGUUCCUGCUCUGAGCCCCACACACUGCCCGUGGGCUGCUGCCCAUCCUGCCCAGGUAAUGGGAUCCCUGGACCCAUUCCCAGGCACUUGGAUGUGCCCCCUCCGGACUGGGGGUCCUGGGAAAGAGGCUGGGCUGGAGCAGAAGACUGAGGGAACCCAGAGGUUGGAGGAACCAGUGUCAAAGACCACAGUGAAUUCCUGAGGACAAGGUGACCGUUCCAUGGAUCCAGCACGUGGUGACGUGACCGGAGCCAAGUUGCCCAAUCCCGCUCCUGUGACCUUCAUCCAGAGGCAUCCAGAGCUUGGCUUUCCCCCAGCUCGUCCCAGUUUCCCCCCACUUCAGGGACUUUGGAAGUGGGAAUGGAAUGACAGGAGAAGGCUCCAAACUGGAAAACAGGGUAUUGGGAGGAACCUCUUGCCUGUGAGGCUGGUGAGGCCCUGGAAUAGAUUUCCCAGAGAAGCUGUGGCUGCCCCAUCCCUGGAAGUGUCCAAGGCCAGGCUGGAGAAACCAGCCUGGAAUGUGUUCCUGUAAAUUCUUGAGUUACCAAGUUUUCCUCCUUUUUUGGCCAAAAUAGUAGAGAAAACAAAAAAUAUGAAGUUUUCCCAGGGUUAUUUAACCAUUGAAUUACCAAAACUGCCAUCCUUGGAGAUCAGGAUUCCUGUUUUCUCAAUGGAAAAGAACCCACAUUUGCCCAAUUAUGGCAAGUUCUAGGACAAGCUCGUUGUGCUGCUGGUAAAUCCCAUAAAAGCAGAACAAUGGAUCCAACAGGGAUGGAUUUUUGGAUGGAUGAUAUCCACAGAAGGAAGAAGCUGUGGAAUUCAGGACUGGGGAAAAAAAAUGGGAAUUGUGAUUUAGCACUAAUUAAAUCCAGAAUAAAAUCUGGGAGGAUGGAAAAAUAACCCCUUUUAGGGCGUGAAACGGCUUCCUGGGAGAGAAAUCCUGAAUUUUCCAAACCUUGGCGGGGAAAUGGAGGGCAUGAGAUGCUGGAUCUCGGAAUAAUCCAUCCGGGUGCUGGGAGCUCUGUGGAUGGGAGCAGGUGGCCUCCCUGCCACAGCUUUCCUUGGCACCAGAGGGCACCACAGCAUGCAGAGAUCCCAAAAACCCCCCAGCUGGAAAAAUGGAUCUGGAAGCUUUCCCUCCUGGCUGAUGCAGCCGGGGCUGGGUGAGGAUUCCCAGGCAAUAAAAUUCUCCCAGAAUUUAGGCUUUUACCGGCAAAAUUCAGAUUUUUUAAAUGUCGUUUUGAUGUGGAAAUACCCCUUGGGAUGAAUUUAACUUCCAUGGGAAUCACCCUCUGGAUCAAACAGGGAUUUUCAGGCUUUUGGGACAUCAAAACUCCUUCUGACAAAACUUCCUCAAUUUUAUCUCUGCAGCCUCCCAAAAAAUUCCCCUUAUGGAGACAGAGCUUUUAUUGGAAAUGGAUUCAUGAAGUCAACUUUUCCAGGCCCUGUUCCCAGUUUUUCUUGUCCCUUCCCUAAAGGCUUUUAUCACACGGGUGCUUUAUCGGAGCUGUCAGAUGAAAGGAGGGAAAUCUGACGCUCCUGAGGUGUCAAAUUUCCCGGAUUGGAUUCAAA
RNA transcript from Passer montanus (Eurasian tree sparrow), 3886 nucleotides. It is a transcript of the gene named von Willebrand factor C and EGF domains, with no coding region annotated. The transcript has 20 exons. The record is from RefSeq and is a predicted model, not a curated record. NCBI's taxonomy places the organism in Eukaryota, Metazoa, Chordata, Aves, Passeriformes, Passeridae.